Molecule: non-coding RNA, 823 nt
Organism: Jatropha curcas
Lineage: Eukaryota; Viridiplantae; Streptophyta; Magnoliopsida; Malpighiales; Euphorbiaceae
Source: RefSeq, a predicted model, not a curated record
UUCUCCAGUCGCGCGAUCCCUCCCUCCUCCCUCUCCUUCCGUCUCCGGCCACCAGACUGACGAUGGUGGGUGGCGAUCGAUUCCUCUCAUGCCACCGGUCACGUUGCCAUCCUCUUUCAUGUCGAUCAGGCCCUCAGCAGCGACGAUGCUAGCUCUUCCCUUGCGACGCGACUGCCUCCUCUGCACCAACGCGAUUCUCCGGUGAGGCUCGACGGUAACGGUGAUCUUCUAUGGCUUAGCUCGAUAGGUAAUGAAUCUUCAACAGUUUUAUUAAUGGUUUGAUCACCGGAUGGAGAUUUGAGAAGAAAUUUAGAUAUAGUUUUCAAUUUGCGUUGAUUUAGGAUUUUUGACAAAUUGGGUGUUGAACGGUGAAACUAAUUUGAGAUUUGGGUUCCUUAUGUAAAAUCGAGUCAGAUGGUGUGAAAGGCACUUGGUUCUAGGCAUCCGCGACUUUCCGACCACCGUGCACGGCGGCGACGGCGGCGGACCGGCGAGACUCCGGCGAGGACUUCAAGAGGCAGAAUGGUCUCCUCUUCGCGCCGAUCACAAAAAUCAAAUCCAAUUUUUGAUCGGUACAUUGUAAGGCCUAGUUGAUUGUUUUCGAUAUUUAUAAAGUGUCGGCAUGUGAAGACAAAGGCUGUAAGCGCACAAUAAGGCAGUCCUUUUAAGGAUAACAAAAACUGUAAUAGAAAAAAGAAGAGUCCUAUGGAAUUGAAACAAUAAUUAUCAAGAGCUGUUAGUGAAUGAAAUAAUGAAGCAAAUGUAAAGGUAGAGUUCCGCAAUUGUAGUCCAGUUGGGUUGUAAAUGAAUAAUAAAAGUCCAU